Molecule: ribosomal RNA, 253 nt
Filed under: uncultured bacterium
Lineage: Bacteria
Description: partial 16S ribosomal RNA
Rfam family: Bacterial small subunit ribosomal RNA
Source: RNAcentral
UACGGGGGGGGCAAGCGUUGUUCGGAAUUACUGGGCGUAAAGGGCUCGUAGGCGGCCAACUAAGUCAGACGUGAAAUCCCUCGGCUUAACCGGGGAACUGCGUCUGAUACUGGAUGGCUUGAGUUUGGGAGAGGGAUGCGGAAUUCCAGGUGUAGCGGUGAAAUGCGUAGAUAUCUGGAGGAACACCGGUGGCGAAGGCGGCGUUCUGGACUGUUUCUGACACUGAAUAACGAAAGCCAGGGGAGCAAACGGG